UUUUUAAAUUUUCCCAAAGCAUCAAAAGAAAGGCAGACUGCCACAUGCAGCGCCUCAUUUGGGUGUGUCUGGAGUCUUGGAAGCUUGAUUACCCUACAUUCUCCUACAAAUGGAUCUUGAG
Non-coding RNA from Callorhinus ursinus (northern fur seal), 121 nucleotides. The record is from RefSeq and is a predicted model, not a curated record. NCBI's taxonomy places the organism in Eukaryota, Metazoa, Chordata, Mammalia, Carnivora, Otariidae.